Molecule: long non-coding RNA, 489 nt
Organism: Ruditapes philippinarum (Manila clam)
Lineage: Eukaryota; Metazoa; Mollusca; Bivalvia; Venerida; Veneridae
Exons: 4
Source: RefSeq, a predicted model, not a curated record
AUUUAUAUUGAAUUAAAACCUUAAAUGAUCGCUAUUCGCAUUCAGUGAAUCACGAACCAGUGCCGUAGCCCUACUGGUAAGAUACAAAAUGAAGCUUCCAGUAGUGACCGUUCUUAUGUUUGCCUGCCUUUUGGGGCUCGCACUCGGACAGUGGGGAGGUUAUGGAGGUACCAGUAGAGGUGGUUUUGGCGGUGGGGGAUUAUUGGCUCUUAUUGGACUCCUCUUCCUGCUUGUUGUUUUGUUCAAUUUCGAUUCAGAUAACGGCUCCGUAACCGUUUAUAAUGCUACAACUUUCCCCACUGCGACAUAAGCAUGAAAUACUGGAUGGGAGACGUUGUUUUGUUAUUAAUGUUACAAAGGAGAGAAUAAACACAUGGAGUGGGCGUGAUUAUUUACUGCACAGCAAUUGUUCAUGUUUUUUUUAAUUGUUCAUUUUUGUUCAUGGUUCCGUUUUUCGUCAAUAAAAUUGCAGGAUGUAUUUUUAAUAUA